Molecule: long non-coding RNA, 912 nt
Filed under: Homo sapiens (human)
Lineage: Eukaryota; Metazoa; Chordata; Mammalia; Primates; Hominidae
Description: non-protein coding lnc-TPTE2-4:1
Source: RNAcentral
CGGCCGGCUCGCCGCCUGCCUUCUCUUGUGCUGGUGGUGCUGCUGGUAGUGACCGUCGUCCUCACCUUCAACUGCUGGAGCAUCUCUUCUUGCCACGUCCUGCUUCAGGAGGAGGUGGCCGAGCUGCAGGGCCAGGUCCGGCGCACCGAAGUGGCCCGCGAGCGGCUGGAAAAGGGCAAUUCGGACCUCUUGCUGUUGGUGGACACGCACAAGAAACAGAUCACCAGAAGGAGGCCGACUAGGGCCGCCUCAACAGCCGGCUGCAGGUCAGACAGGGCCUGGGGAAGAGAUGCGAGGAUGACAAAGUUAAACUACAGAACGACAUAUCAUAUCAGAUGGCAGACAUACAUCAUUUAAAGGAGCACCUUGCCGAGGGCUUCGUCAGGAGUUUCUUCGACAAGAAGACCAGCUUCAGGACUAUAGGAAGAACAAUACUUACCUUGUGAAGAGGUUAGAAUAUCAAAGUUUUCAGUGUGGACAGCAGAUCAAGGAAUUGAGAGCACAGCAUGAAGAAAACAUUAAAAAGUUAGUAGACCAGUUUUUACAGGAACAAAAGGAAGAGGCCCUCAAGAUUCAAUCAAAUGACGGAAAAGAACUGGGUAUAAACGAUCAAGUAGUACCUAAAAAUAUUCCAAAAGUAGCUGAGAAUGUUGCAGAUAAGAAUGAAGAACCCUCAAGCAAUCAUAUUCUACAUGGGAAAGAACAAAUCAAAAGAGGUGGUGAUGCAGGGAUGCCUGGAAUAAAAAAGAAUGACCUAGCAAAAGUCGAUGAUCUUCCCCCUGCUUUAAAGAAGCCUCCUAUUUCAGUUUUUCAACAUGAAAGUCAUCAGGCAAUCUCCCAUCUUCCAACUGGACAACCUCUCUCCCCAAAUAUGCCUCCAGAUUCACAGGUAAACCACAAUGGAAACCCUGG